This is a long non-coding RNA of Neofelis nebulosa (Clouded leopard), 641 nucleotides long. RefSeq lists it as uncharacterized. Lineage: Eukaryota; Metazoa; Chordata; Mammalia; Carnivora; Felidae. The record is from RefSeq and is a predicted model, not a curated record. The transcript is spliced from 4 exons.
CUCCCUCCCCUGUCCUUGUAAUGAACAUCCUGCCUACUAUUCCCCUGCUAGCAGUCUGAAAGGAUGUAACUUUGAGAGAGUAAGGUGAUACUGGGGCCAUCUGAAUUGAACAUGUUACUGAACCCAUUUAAAACCUUCAUAUAAACUUAAGAGUCUGGUAGGCAGUUGUGGGGAUAUACUUGUCUUGUGGCUGCCCAAGAUCACCCUGGAUAUGUUCAAGACCAGCCUUGUAUAAAGAAAAAUACUUUUAACUAUGGCCCAACAUCUUACUGAGAAAUUUCUGUCUUCUAUUCUCAGAUUCUCAGGGCAACUAAUUUCCAUCAUUUCGACAUUCUGUGGUGAUGGGAGUUAUUAGAAGUACUCCAAGAACAUGAAUGAAGAUAUUCUUCAAGAUAAUAAGGGAGAAAGCAACAAAAUAGAAAAUAUAUGAUGCAGAAAGUGAUUAAAGUAACAGCAUGUAGCAGACCUGGACAAACUAAUAUAGAUUUGGUGAAAUAACAGGGCAAGUCUAAGGAGACUGGUCUUCAGAAAGAAAGGGGACUGACACUGGACUAUACUAAAAACAAAUACUGAAAGAAAAUGGAAGUCAAGCGAAAACAUCAUUACAAACAAAAGACUGCACAAGAAAAUAAAUAUAAAGU